GAUGAACGCUGGCGGCGUGCCUAAUACAUGCAAGUCGAGCGAACAGACGAGGAGCUUGCUCCUCUGACAUUAGCGGCGGACGGGUGAGUAACACGUGGAUAACCGACCUAUAAGACUGGGAUAACUUCGGGAAACCGGAGCCAAUACCGGAUAAUAUAUGGAACAGCAUGGUUCAAUAGUGAAAGACGGUUUUGCUGUCACUUAUAGAUGGAUCCGCGCCGCAUUAGCUAGUUGGUAAGGUAACGGCUUACCAAGGCAACGAUCCGUAGCCGACCUGAGAGGGUGAUCGGCCACACUGGAACUGAGACACGGUCCAGACUCCUACGGGAGGCAGCAGUAGGGAAUCUUCCGCAAUGGGCGCAAGCCUGACGGAGCAACGCCGCGUGAGUGAUGAAGGUCUUCGGAUCGUAAAACUCUGUUAUUAGGGAAGAACAAAUGUGUAAGUAACUCUGCACGUCUUGACGGUACCUAAUCAGAAAGCCACGGCUAACUACGUG
This 497-nucleotide ribosomal RNA is filed under the name uncultured bacterium. Its description in RNAcentral is "partial 16S ribosomal RNA". It matches the Rfam family "Bacterial small subunit ribosomal RNA", at positions 28 to 507 of the family's 1533-position model. The record is from RNAcentral.